RNAcentral lists this long non-coding RNA (4658 nucleotides) under Sus scrofa (pig). RNAcentral describes it as "lncRNA (ENSSSCG00000055275.1)". Lineage: Eukaryota; Metazoa; Chordata; Mammalia; Artiodactyla; Suidae. The record is from RNAcentral.
GGCCCCGAGGCAUAUGGAGAUUCCCAGGCUGGGGGUCGAAUUGGAGCUGUAGCCACCAGCCUAUGCCAGAGCCACAGCAACUCAGGAUCCCAGCCCCGUCUGCAAACUACACUACAGCUCACAGCAAUGCCAGAUCCUUAACCCACUGAGCAAGGCCAGGGAUUGAACCUGCAACCUCAUGGUUCCUGGUCUGAUUCGUUAACCACUGUGCCAUGACAGGAACUCCCCCAGUCGCAUUCUUGACUAGCUGAGCCACAACAGGAACUCCAUUGGAAGGCUUAUUCUUGAUCACAGAGGCCAAUUGUUUAGAUGACCCAGGACCCAAGUAUGGCAACAAUUAAAGGAAAGCAACAAAAAAAGGAAAAUAAAAAUGUCCUUGUUUAUGGUAGCGGCAUCUCUAAAUAACACUGGACAACACAAGUCAGCACGGAAUAGCUUAGGACCAAGAGAGGCCUGGAUACCCGCCCAUAAACCCAGUCUUUAGCUAAGACUCGAAGGUGUAACUUUUCCGCAGGUCCCAAGAGACUCCAUAAGGACUUUAAAACUGCUGUUCCUACAGAGAUAAAUCACUUCAUAUAAAAACUGUAUCUCUGUGGCAUUCUUUAAAUUGGCUUUAGAAACCUGGGGUAUAGCUAUUUUCUUGGGGAUAGUUCUCAGAAACACAAACCAGAAGGAAAGGCAAGUCUCUAGCAUGAGUGAACAAAUUAAAGAGCCUUGAGAUUGCAGAAUAGCCUUAUAAAAGUCUUUUUAAAAGCAUAGCCUUACCAAAAGUAUUUGUAACUCAUUCUUGUCGGCAUAUAGUAAAGGAAAUAAAAGUACUUUCCUAAUCCUCAGUGUUGAGUAACUUUGAGGCGUAACAUUUAAAUCAGGCUUGCAAGAAACUCGUUUCUCAACAGUGACUGACAGGGGAGGAAAAACCCAACAGCUGAGUUUCUGCUGACCUUGGCAGUAUUUUAUAGGUUAUACAGUAAUGUUUCCCUCUGGAGAAUUGUUCUUUUCCAGCAGCUUUAAUUUGUUAAACCAAAAGGAAGAGAGUUUGUCUUCAGCCCUAGGCAUGCAUGCCUUCCUUUUCUCCUCUGACUUUUUGCUUCAGCAAACAUUUAUUCUAGGUAUUCUGUGAACAUUCCUUUCUAUUGAUUAAUGAUCAUGAUUAAUGCCUCUUUAAAUACUAAAAGGUGGUUUUCAAACUCUGAGUAAGGCUCUAAUUGUGUCUCACUUCUAUUAAUCUUUUCCAGAAAUAGGAAUAGUUGCUUUUGAAGAUUCUUGUCUGAUGGGAAUGUACCUUAAAUGAAAAGUUAGAAAUAACCCAGGGAAUUAUUUUUUAUUAGAAGGAAUACAAAGAGCCACCUCAUCCCGUAAGACUCUUGAAACUCAGUGCUGCAUGUCCUUUGUGAUGGAUUAUUUUGACAUUAACGUUCUUUUCUAAAUCUCCUAGUUUUUAUUUCUGUCCUUCCAUUGACCAAAUAUUUAUUGAGUGCCUACUAUGUGUCUGCCACUUUUCUGGGCUUGGCAUAUAAUCCUGACCAAAACAAAACCUCUGUCCCAGGGUGUUUUUAAUCUAUUAGAGACUGUCACAGACAAACCACGGUGCACCAUGUGGUUGAGUUGACUUCUAUGGUCGUUAACUGAGUCAUAGGUCCUGGCUGGCAGGAUACAUUCCAGUGUGCGGCCAGGUACACAGUGCCAUAGCCACAAGCUGCACCACAUUUAUAAUGCUCUGAUACGGUAGUGCAAAAGGUAUUUCGAGAGCAUCCUAGUGCCUGAGGUCCAUUUAUGGUGAUUAUGGAAGAGCAGUGUAAAUUGCCAGUCAUCAACAUAGUAUUUGCAUAAGAACCUUAGAUUUAUGUGUUUGGUUAGAAGUCCAAUAGGGAAAAGUAUUCCUCCACAGUUGAACAUGAAUCUCCCUCAAUCUGUUUGUUAUAUAAUGUGCAUGCAUUACCAUAGAUUUGUGCUUACUUUCUGUGAAAUCUUCAAUUGAUGAACACAUUGGAAAAGUGAAAAUGAAAUGAAGUUUGAAAUAAAUGAAAUAAAAUUCAAUUAUAAAAUGAAAUUGACCCUUAAGAGAUUACCAAAAAAGUUGGUGGUAAUUAUAUUAGCACUUUGAUCAAAGAUGAUGAACCCAUUAUUUAUUGAAUGUUGAAAAUAUGUAUUUAGUGAGAGUCUAAAGCUCUUUUAAAAAGUAUUCAUUAACAGUGAAUUCUAAGGCUCUUUGUCUCUGCUCCCCCUGGGAAUACAAAUUCUAAUAAAUCCUAACACAAAAUUUGUAGGAUUGGCAAAGCCAAUGCUCUCUGGGAUUUUUCUGUUUUUCUUUUUUUAGUUUUUUUGUGUUUUUACGGCUGCACCCACAGCAUAUGGAAGUUCCCAGGCUAGGGGAUCUGAUUGGAGCUACAGCUGCCAGCCUAUACCACAGCAACACGGAAUCCAAGCCAUGUCUACACCACAGCUCACGGCAACAUCAGAUCCUUAACCCACUGAACAAGGCCAGGGAUCAAACUUCCAUCCUCAUGGAUACUAGUCAGGUUGGUUACUGCUGAGCCACAUGGGAAACUCCUGGAUUUUUGUUUUUGAUUUUGUUUCUCUUGAAAGGAGCCAUUAGUGCCUUUCUUGCAUGAGUGCUGAGGUACUGACAGUGAACCUCUAUUUGAAAACAAAUAAACUUCAGAAAGGCAUUCCACAGUGAAAGAUGAAAACACAAUCUGUUAUAUGGCCAGCUCUACAGUCAAAGUGAUAGCUAACACAGCAAUCACACAAAUUAUGUGCCAGGCACAGUUCUAAACAGUUUAUAUAGCAACUCACUCCACACCACAAACUUAUUCAAUAAGGUAAGUGCCAUCAAGGUCCCUAUUUUAUGGGUGAGGAGUCAGGAAUUUUCUUCAAGGUCACGUGGAAGAGCAGGAGUAGAACUCAGGCAGGGCAGGCUGGCUCUGGACCUCUGUGCUCUUCACCAUGACACGAUCUUGCCGUAGACACAGACAUCAUGUGUACAGCAUGGGGUCCCAGGUGCCUGAAGGCUGAACAUCCUGGCCAUCCAUCUGCUCACUGAGCCAGAGUGCGACUACAUCCACCUAGGUCUGCCCCGGUCUGCUGACUAAUGGAGCCCCCAGCAAGUCUGCCUUUUAAUAUCCAGUAACUGUGAAUGUUGCCUUAUAUGGUGCCUUUGCAUUUGCCAUCAGUUAAAGAUCUCUAGAUGGGGAGAUAACUCUAGAUUAUCGAGGUGGGCCUCAUGUAGGCACAAGAGGGAUGAAGGAGGACGCAGAGUCAGACAGUGGCAAUGUGACAAGGGACUCGGCAGAGGGACGGAGAAGGAGGUCUGAAGAUGCUAUGCUGCUAGCCUUGAAGAUAGAGGGAGGGGCCACUAGCCAAAGAAUGUAGUUGGCCUCUGGGAGCUGGAAAGGUCAAGGAACAGGGGUUCUCCCCUGGAACCUCCAAAAGAAUGCAGCCUUGAAGACCUACACUUCAGUAAAAAUAAAUAUUAAAAAAAAAUUGGUUUUUUUUUUAAACUUGAUGAAAGCCAUAAACCCCUUUUCUCAACAACAACAACAACACAAUGUGUAAGUGCAUAUAUAACCAUACAACCAGAACAUGUCACGCAUAACAUCAGGAAGCUCACAGGCUUCUUACCUCAAGAACCAUAAGAUAAUAAAUCAGUGUUGUUUUAGGCCACUUAAGUCUGAGGCACUUUGUAGGAAACUGAUAUAGGUAUGCUAACCAAGACUGUCCUCUUUCUCCCCCUUUCCGUCUGACUCCUUCGGACUAGGAGGCGAUGGCCUUUGCUCGCAGAGUUGCUAUCGCAGACCUAGAUCAGUCCUUUGAGGCAGGGCUCUUGUGCCGAUCCUAGUGAGUGUCAGAAAGCUCUUCUCACCUCACUCCGUGUCUCCCAAAGUUCCUGGACCAGCUUCUCAUCCCACUGGUCUCGUAUACGAACGGUCUCCCUACCAUUUCCUGAACUCCUUUGGUUUUUUGGGGUUUUUUUGUCUUUUUAGGACCGCACCCAUGGCAUAUGGAGGUUCCCAGGCUAGGGGGCCAAUCAGAGCUGUAGCCACCAGCCUACACCGUUUGCCUUGUGGACCCAGUCACUGAUAAAGUUAGCAAAUACUUUUUUUGUUUUGUUUUUCUUUUUAGGGCCACACCUGCAGCAUAUGGAAGUUCCCGGACUAGGGGUCAAAUUGGAGCUGCAGCUGGAGCCUAUGCCACAGCCACAGCAACGCCAGAUCUAAGCUGCAUCUUUGAUAUAUGUCUCAGCUUGCAGAAACUCUGGAUCAUAAACCCACUAAGCGAGGCCAGGGAUUGAACGUGGAUCCUCAUGGAUACUAGUUGUGUUCUUAACCCACUGAGCCACAAGGGAACUUCCAGCAAAUACUUUUUGAGUAUUUUCCACGUGUCAGACACUAUGUUAUGUGCUGUGUGUAGAGAAGGAUGAAUUAGAUCUCUUCCUCGUCCUUAUGAAUUAAUGGGUGAGAAAGACAAAGACAAAUAAAAUCACAAUUCAGAGACAUAAGCAACAUAAAUAGUCUUCUCCAUCCUGUGUUGUUAGUAUUAUUGAAGUCCUCUGCUCGCAUCCCAAAUCUCAAAGACAGAUGCAAAGAAGUAUCAGAGGACAAAAAGGAGACCAAAUUGCAAAUGAUUGCCUUUUUUUCCCUUUGUAACUCUAUGGAGAA